Molecule: small nuclear RNA, 23 nt
Filed under: Arabidopsis thaliana (thale cress)
Lineage: Eukaryota; Viridiplantae; Streptophyta; Magnoliopsida; Brassicales; Brassicaceae
Description: snRNA_00237
Source: RNAcentral
AAGAAUUUUAACGCAUCAUACGA